RNAcentral lists this transfer RNA (77 nucleotides) under Thiomicrorhabdus sp. RNAcentral describes it as "tRNA-Val". It matches the Rfam family "tRNA". Rfam says of the family: Transfer RNA (tRNA) molecules are approximately 80 nucleotides in length. Lineage: Bacteria; Pseudomonadati; Pseudomonadota; Gammaproteobacteria; Thiotrichales; Piscirickettsiaceae. The record is from RNAcentral.
ACGACUGUAGCUCAGUUGGUUAGAGCACUACCUUGACAUGGUAGGGGUCGGUGAUUCGAAUUCACUCAGUCGUACCA